Molecule: ribosomal RNA, 751 nt
Filed under: Heterodorus sp. 1 MP-2017
Lineage: Eukaryota; Metazoa; Nematoda; Enoplea; Dorylaimida; Nordiidae
Description: eukaryotic LSU rRNA
Rfam family: Eukaryotic large subunit ribosomal RNA
Source: RNAcentral
GAAGAGAGAGUUCAAAAGGGCGUGAAACCGCUUAGAAUAAAACGGACGGAGCCGUCAGGAGCUUUCGAGACUCAGUCGACUAGUAAGCGAAAGUACGAGCGUCGCGAAGAGCAUAAAGAGUCUUCGUCGUUCGACUCUAGUACGCGGAUAGUCGGCGCAUUUCUCGAGAGUAAGCAUCGCAACCGAUACGAAAGGCUAGCGAGGCGAUCGAAUUGAGGUCUAAUAGUCUUUACCGACUCGUUAGUUGCCAGUUCGAUCGCGCUUUAGUCGCUAGAUCGCAGUAUGUAUCGAGCGCUUACCAAUUAAAUAAAAAAUACGUCGACCUUAAAGGUUCGUCGAAUACGGUGGAUAGUCGGUUAGUAUCAUAAUCGAAGUUGGUCACCUGCUCGCAGGUACUAGCUAACUCGAUCGACUCAGAAACCGUCGACGAUUAUCGACGUAUAGGCGUUAGCGAUGUCAGCGUCGGUCACCCGUCCGACCCGUCUUGAAACACGGACCAAGGAGUCUAACAUACGCGCGAGCCAAUAGGCGGAAAACCUAAAGGCGUAAUAAAAGUAAAGACUAUUCUUACGAAUGGUUAAGGUACGAUCCCGUUACUUUCCUUAAAACAGUAAGUGGGCGGGCGCAGUACCGUCUCGUCCCUAAGGCACGUCCUAAGGGCGAAGAUAGAGCGCGUACGUUGGGACCCGAAAGAUGGUGAACUAUGCCUGAGCAGAGCGAAGCCAGAGGAAACUCUGGUGGAGGUUCGUAG